Molecule: ribosomal RNA, 253 nt
Filed under: uncultured bacterium
Lineage: Bacteria
Description: partial 16S ribosomal RNA
Rfam family: Bacterial small subunit ribosomal RNA
Source: RNAcentral
UACAGAGACUGCGAGCGUUAUUCGGAUUCACUGGGCGUAAAGGGUGCGCAGGCGGCCAAGUGUGUGAGGUGUGAAAGCCCGGGGCUUAACCCCGGAAUUGCACCUCAAACUACAUGGCUAGAGCAUUGGAGAGGGUAGCAGAAUUCACGGUGUAGCAGUGAAAUGCGUAGAUAUCGUGAGGAAUACCAGAGGCGAAGGCGGCUACCUGGACAAUUGCUGACGCUCAGGCACGAAAGCGUGGGGAGCAAACGGG